Molecule: unclassified non-coding RNA, 349 nt
Filed under: soil metagenome
Description: partial contains 5.8S ribosomal RNA, internal transcribed spacer 2, and large subunit ribosomal RNA
Rfam family: 5.8S ribosomal RNA (bases 1-120)
Source: RNAcentral
GAUGAAGAACGCAGCGAAAUGCGAUAAGUAAUGUGAAUUGCAGAAUUCAGUGAAUCAUCGAAUCUUUGAACGCACAUUGCGCCCCCUGGUAUUCUGGCGGGCAUGCCUGUCCGAGCGUCAUUUCAACCCUCGAACCCCUCCGGGGGGUCGGCGUUGGGGAUCGGCCCUUUACGGGGCCGGCCCCGAAAUACAGUGGCGGUCUCGCCGCAGCCUCUCCUGCGCAGUAGUUUGCACACUCGCAUCGGGAGCGCGGCGCGUCCAAUGCCGUAAAACACCCAACUUUCUGAAAUGUUGACCUCGGAUCAGGUAGGAAUACCCGCUGAACUUAAGCAUAUCAAUAAGCGGAGGA